GGCAGAGCCGAGCGUAGAGAUCCCCACCUCGCCCCACCGCCCCAGUUUACAGAUGGGUAGACUGAGCACCUCGUAACUCUGCAAGGCCACAGGCUAGACAGUGGCAGAGCCAACAUCUCCUGCCUUUCCUGACUCGGGGCCAACCCUUCCGGUACGACAUGCCCCAGCAACAAGUCCUGGCCUGGGAGCCCACCCUCAGCCCCACUUCCCAACCGCAGGUACGAGUCUACUCAUCACCUCGAGCGUUUCCACCCUCACGCUUUUACUGCAGCCGGUCUUCUCGACUGGAAUGCUCUCCUGCCGUCUCUUUGCUUACCAGAAUCCCAAUGCCUUUAAGGGCUCAGCUUGCACUGCCUCCUCCAGGGAGCCUUCGUGGGAGCCUGACCCUCCCCCUCCCGGUCCUGCUCCCGCUGCAUUCUGGGUUCUUCUGACUGUCCUAGAUGAAUGCUGUCAGCCACUAGCCCAGCCCUCAGGAUUCCAUUCUACCUUCCUCCAGGUUGGGGGUGGGGGUGACCUCCUGGCCUGCUUGGAUGGCAUCUGCGGUGGAGUUGAUGCUUUUCAAUCUGUAAAAUGGAGGCAUUGGACAAGAGAACCCUCACCAGCUUCAACAUUCCUUGACUCAGUUUCUAGAAGAUGCUGCCUGCUUAUCACGGAACUGGGCAGAGUUGGGCACUAG
This 676-nucleotide long non-coding RNA is filed under the name Pongo abelii (Sumatran orangutan). RNAcentral describes it as "lncRNA (ENSPPYG00000035621.1)". The record is from RNAcentral. Lineage: Eukaryota; Metazoa; Chordata; Mammalia; Primates; Hominidae.